CGCCGGCCUCUAGAUCGACUUCGUCUCAGAGUUCAGAGUAUGCAUAUCUUGUUGGAGAAUUCCUGAUGAAGCUCGCUAGCGAAGCCCAGGCGAUGUAUAUCAGCGGACCCUGCUUCACGCGAUCGUCCGCUGAAGUGUCCCUCGCUAGAACCCGCUUCGCGGUCACUUGCUCACAGCCACUCGCUCUCGCGGCCCUCUCUUCGCUCGCGGCCAGUCCUCCGCGGUCACUUGGUCGCGGCCAGUCGCUCUCGCCCAUUUCCUUGCGAGCGCUCGCUUCACCGCUGAUGUCCUCGCGACCAUCUGCUCGCGCCCCUCGCGGCCGCUUGCUUUCGCUCGCGGCCAGUUGCUCGCCCUUGGCGGUCGCUUGCUUAUGCGGUCAAUCGCUCGCGGCCAGUCGCUGAUGCGCCGCACUC
RNAcentral lists this long non-coding RNA (413 nucleotides) under Rosa chinensis. RNAcentral describes it as "sRNA RchiOBHm_Chr5g0027951". The record is from RNAcentral. Lineage: Eukaryota; Viridiplantae; Streptophyta; Magnoliopsida; Rosales; Rosaceae.